GAAUAAUUGUGCUUAAUUGGUGUUUCACAUGCAAGUGUAAGAAAAAUUUAUUUAAAACUCAAACAUGACCGGUGGCGGAGACAGAAACUAAUAUGACUGAGGGCACAAUUUAAUGAUCACAAAAAUUUUCUUUGAGAAAUAAGUAUAUAGACACCAUAUAGCUUUCCAUAUUUGAAAGUGCAUCAAUUCAAUUCAGCACAAAAUGUAUAAAAAGGUUCAUAUAUCCAUCUACUACAAAAAAAUUGUUUCCGUCAACAAAAAACAACUAAAACCAGAAACAAUAGGGCAGAUGUACCUAUAGUUGUCCUCGACGAGGUGCCAUGUUUUGAAAUCGCUGAAUUAUAACUUCAUUGUCAAUGGCAUUGAACACAUCUUUCUCAAGGUACACUGUUAAGCUAUCAUUCAACCACUGAUCUCCCAUUCGAUUACGCAUUCGAUUCUUUAUGAUGUUCAUGGCAGAGAAUGCCCUUUCNNNNNNNNNNNNNNNNNNNNCAUGAGGCACAAUUGAUCAAAGUGAACUAACAUACAAAGUUGACUGCAGGCACAGGCCAACGCUGGCCCUGUAUUGGCUCCGCCCCUGGUUUUAGACAAAGAAAAUAAGGGUUUUAGGCUUGUUUCCUUAUUUUCUUUGUCUAAAACCCAGUUGAGACCAAUGUAUAGAGUUGGAGAGAAAUCAAGAUCAAUCUCAAUUCAAAAUAUUGGUGUUUGGAAUGGUUGCAUGGAGGGGUAUAUAUAUCAUACUUAUCAUGUUGUAAGUGCUAAAAGUUAAGUCCUUGAUACAACAAAAAAUUAACCGUAAACACAGCUAAUACAUAUAGGAUAAUUGAUAUAGCUAUUUCGUGAAUUGUGGCUUGAAUUAAAUUUGAUACAAGUGUGGGUUGGAAGUUCUCAAUUUGAAUAUUACUGUUUAAUUCUUGUCUGUUCAUUACUAUAUCACAUGCGAUCAUAAGUAAUACACACUCAUGUCACUGAUUAUUAACCACCAAAUAUAGAAAUGAUGUGUUGUACGUAUUUUUAGUGCAGUUAUAACUAACUAGCACUUCAAAAAACAAAACAAUUAUAGAUAAAUAAUAAAUGAACAAAAACUUUGGUAUUCGCCUAAAAAGUUUGAGCAAACUUUGUCACACUAUUGGGCCAUGAGCCAUCCUCGUUACAUAUCUAUCGUAUUGGGCUAUUGGCCCAUAAAAUCAAUACCUUUUAUCCCAUGCACUUCAAUAUUUUCAUAUUUUGGCACCCGAACAUCAUCGUUCGAUUACUCAUAAUUUCAUAACUUUUGCAUUCGUGUAUGAUGUGAAAUAGAAGUUUGAUGCAUGUUCUAAGUUGGGUUUUAACUUACGAGGGCUUGUCGAGAGUUUGCAACUGGCUUUAUUUGAUUAAUAAGCUGUUUUAUAUGUAACAAAUAAUGAGAAAUAGACAAGUAAAUUAGCCUAGUCUAUUAAUUAGUAGAAGCAUACCAAUAUUUGCUGUGAUCAAGUUGCGUAUGUUUUGUUAAGGUCCAUGGCUUAUACACUUGAUGGUGAUUAUUUUGUAUAUAUGCAAAUCUGUAAAACUCACUAUGGUGGCCAUGCCAUUUGACACUAAUAUUGCAUCAAAUUGUUUGUUUGUCGUCGAGAAGUUAUAUGCAAGGCUUUGAAGUUGGCACUGGUUUAUUAACCAAGGCAUUUGAGGGUUUAUUCAUUCGCUGAUUCCAUCUGAAUAAGAAUGUCCAAUAGAUUUGAUACUUGAUCGAUCAAAAACAUAAAAGGAGCUGAUCGACUAGCUUGUAAUCGUCAUUUCAAUAAAAUGUCCUCUGGCAUGGAUUUCUUUAUCUAAAUUGGCAUGUACCACUGUUAUAUGCAACCCGGCCUUUGCUAGUCGCUCUGCGUGUCCAAUUUGCUGCAUGCUGAAGAUUUCAGUCAUACAACCACAUACACAGACUAGUCAUGUUCAGGGGCGGAGCCAAUACAGGGCCAGCGUUGGCCUGUGCCUGCAGUCAACUUUGUAUGUUAGUUCACUUUGAUCAAUUGUGCCUCAUGUGAAAUUGAUAUUCUUAUAGUUUUACAUGUAUUAACUAAAUUAAAAGAAGUUAACAGCCCAUUACCCAAACCACUCAAACAAAAAAACAGCCCAUUACCCAUAUAUAUUUAUAAAGCCCAAGUGAUUUAAUAAAACCUAAAUUGAUAGUUAAAGAAUUUUUGGGGUUCUGUUCCUAUUCUUCUUAGAAGAAGUUGCUGUCGUCUUUGUUCUCCCUCCCUGCCCUCUUGAAUUUCUUUGGUCUGGUCAUGGACUGAUGGAGACNNNN
This 2281-nucleotide long non-coding RNA is filed under the name Fragaria vesca (wild strawberry). Its description in RNAcentral is "long non-coding RNA (FVES_LNC001617)". The record is from RNAcentral. Lineage: Eukaryota; Viridiplantae; Streptophyta; Magnoliopsida; Rosales; Rosaceae.